RNAcentral lists this ribosomal RNA (547 nucleotides) under uncultured bacterium. RNAcentral's name for it is "bacterial SSU rRNA". It matches the Rfam family "Bacterial small subunit ribosomal RNA", at positions 355 to 896 of the family's 1533-position model. The record is from RNAcentral.
UAAGGAAUAUUGGACAAUGGACGAAAGUCUGAUCCAGCCAUACCGCGUGCAGGAUGACAGCCCUACGGGUUGUAAACUGCUUUUAUACAGGAAGAAACACUCCGACGUGUCGGAGCUUGACGGUACUGUAAGAAUAAGGAUCGGCUAACUCCGUGCCAGCAGCCGCGGUAAUACGGAGGAUCCAAGCGUUAUCCGGAAUCAUUGGGUUUAAAGGGUCCGCAGGCUGUUUUUUAAGUCAGAGGUGAAAUCCUACAGCUCAACUGUAGAACUGCCUUUGAUACUGGAAAACUUGAGUUAUUGUGAAGUGGUUAGAAUGUGUGGUGUAGCGGUGAAAUGCAUAGAUAUCACACAGAAUACCGAUUGCGAAGGCAGAUCACUAACAAUAUACUGACGCUCAUGGACGAAAGCGUGGGGAGCGAACAGGAUUAGAUACCCUGGUAGUCCACGCCGUAAACGAUGGAUACUAGCGGUUCGUCUAACAUUGGUUAGAUGAGUGGCUAAGCGAAAGUGAUAAGUAUCCCACCUGGGGAGUACGGUCGCAAGACUG